CAAUUACAUAAGCUAAUGGGCCUGGCACAAAUCAAGUGUUCAAUGAAUGUGAGUUCUAUUGUUAGCAUGUGUCAUGAAGCCUGCCGAGUCUGGGUGGUGAGCUGAGAGAAGCAACCUGACAGCUAUAUGGAACGUCAUGCAAGAGAAGACUCAGGGCAGAAAAGCUACGGAAGAAGACCUUUUCAGUGCGACAGCCAUCGACAAUGCCGGGAGCAGCAAUGAAGUCAAGGAAGACAAGGAGAGAAAAGAUCUGGCAAUGGUCUCCCAAUCCCAGAAAUUCUCAAAGUGUGACACGAGAACAUCUAGAGACUUCUGAGACCCUUUAAACACACACAAAGUCAGAAUUAUUUUUGUAAUACUAAGAUAUUUUU
RNAcentral lists this long non-coding RNA (371 nucleotides) under Fukomys damarensis (Damara mole-rat). Its description in RNAcentral is "lncRNA (ENSFDAG00000022138.1)". The record is from RNAcentral. Lineage: Eukaryota; Metazoa; Chordata; Mammalia; Rodentia; Bathyergidae.